Molecule: ribosomal RNA, 485 nt
Filed under: uncultured bacterium
Lineage: Bacteria
Description: partial 16S ribosomal RNA
Rfam family: Bacterial small subunit ribosomal RNA
Source: RNAcentral
AUUGAACGCUGGCGGCAGGCCUAACACAUGCAAGUCGAGCGGAUGAAGGGAGCUUGCUCCUGGAUUCAGCGGCGGACGGGUGAGUAAUGCCUAGGAAUCUGCCUGGUCGUGGGGGAUAACGUCCGGAAACGGGCGCUAAUACCGCAUACGUCCUGAGGGAGAAAGUGGGGGAUCUUCGGACCUCACGCUAUCAGAUGAGCCUAGGUCGGAUUAGCUAGUUGGUGGGGUAAAGGCCUACCAAGGCGACGAUCCGUAACUGGUCUGAGAGGAUGAUCAGUCACACUGGAAAUGGGACACGGUCCAGACUCCUACGGGAGGCAGCAGGGGGGAAUAUUGGACAAUGGGCGAAAGCCUGAUCCAGCCAUGCCGCGUGUGUGAAGAAGGUCUUCGGAUUGUAAAGCACUUUAAGUUGGGAGGAAGGGCAGUAAGUUAAUACCUUGCUGUUUUGACGUUACCAACAGAAUAAGCACCGGCUAACUUCGUGC